AAAGCGAAACUAGCGAAGUGGAGCAAAACUCUAAAAAACAAUCUCAGUUCAGAUUGCAGGCUGCAACUCGCCUGCAUGAAGUCGGAAUUGCUAGUAAUCGUAGGUCAGCAUACUACGGUGAAUACGUUCCCGGGCCUUGUACACACCGCCCGUCAAACCAUGAGAGUUGGCAACGCCCGAAGUCAGCGGCCCAACCGAAAGGAGGGAGCUGCCGAAGGCAGGCCUGGUGACUGGGGUGAAGUCGUAACAAGGUAGC
This 256-nucleotide ribosomal RNA is filed under the name uncultured bacterium. RNAcentral describes it as "partial 16S ribosomal RNA". It matches the Rfam family "Bacterial small subunit ribosomal RNA", at positions 1246 to 1500 of the family's 1533-position model. The record is from RNAcentral.